UGAGAGAGCGAAGCGGCGGGCGCUCUGCCAGGCGGCGGCUCGGCGCCCAGUUCGCCGGCAUCCAUGGCGGCUCGGCGGCUCCGCUCGCCGGAGUAGCAUGCAGCGGAGAGAUCCCGCGCGCUACUCCGUCGAGCGUGGCUACCCGUGCUGCGCGCGUGGCAUUAGGCAGCGGUGCAACGGCGAGAGGGGAGACGACAGAGACGUGCGGGGCGCGGAGACCGAGCGGCGUCUUAGUCCUUAAGGGCGGCACGGCGGGGCACAUCUUCCCGCGCGUCUUCUCCGACGGGAGUCAACGGCGGCGCGGCUUCGGCGUGCGAAUCCCGGAGGGUAGGAGGCGACGACGCGGCCAUUAGUCCAAUGGCUGCACCUUGGGUCCUUCAUGGCCGGGGAAGGACAACACCAGGAUUACGUGAUGAGCAGCAGCAGCGUCGCUCACCAGCUGGGGCUCUGUGCAGCUGCCGUGAGCCUCCUGCAGUGUGAAGCUUGUUGGGGAAGAAGCAGCAGCAGGAAGAUGGACAUGCAGGGUGCUGCUGGCACUGCCCUGGAGGUGGCCGGUGGUGGUAGACGGUCUUCCAGCCCAUCAGCUCCCUCUUUUAGGAUCGGUUGUUAGCACUCGGGGUUUUAACCCGUUUGUGUUUUUUCUUAUCUGAAGAGGUACGUGACCUCUUCCUUUUAUAUGAGGGGCUGAUGGACCGGGGACCGAAACCAAACGUUGGGUUUGGGUGCCCCCCGAUCAAAGCACCAAUCUGGGAUUGGACUCCCCCUUUUAUUUCUGUCUAUAACAACCUGAGAUCAGUUCCAACAUUGUUCUCAAAUCAAAGGCACAUUUUAUCAGACACAAGACAAGUCUGUUAGCUGAACACUCAAAGAACAGGCGGUUGGUAUUUUCCUCAUGUCCACAGAACACACAUUCUUUUCCUCCUUUCCACCCUUUUUUGAUCAAAUUAUCUUUGGUUAGAAUACUCUUGCGAGCUAGCAGCCAGAAGAACAUUUUGAUUUUAGCAGGGGUUUUCACCUUCCACAAGAACUUGUGUGGGAAACCCACAUCAGUCUUAAUGAGAAACAUAUAUAAAUAUUUAACAGAAAAUAUUCUGCCACUAGUUAGCAUCCACUGUGGUUUGUCUUUUCCAUCAUACAUCCUAAUCUCUUCACAUCUAGUUUUGAGGUUAGCUCACAAGUCUGCAGAAUCACCAAUCAGAUUUCUUCUAAAUGAGAAAUUAUCCCAGCCUUUGUCAAUGGCCUCAGCAACAGAAAUCUUGUUAUCAAAACUAAUAUUAUACAGUCUGGGGUAAGCAUCUUUCAGUGAUUUGUUUCCCACCCACCAGUCUUUCUAGAAUCUGGUGUUUCUCCCAUCCCCCAGUUUUUUUAACAUGCUGAUAAUAUAUAUUUUUAACUUUCAGAAGCCUAUCCCAAAAUUGGGAAUCACCCACUUUCUUUUUGAUCCCAGAUAUACAUUUAUUCUUCACAUAUUUGUUAAGAAGAAGAUCAAUCCAAAGUCCUUCUUCAAUUUCCAGCUUCCAAAACCACUUAGCUAAGAGGGCUUUGUUCAUGAGAUCCAAAUUUAGGAUUCCCAAGCCACCCUCCAUUUUUGGUAAACAACAGGUUUUUCAGUUCACCAAAUGGUACUUUUUUAUCUUCAUCUUCCUACCAAACUAAUCUAGCUAUGAAAAAUCAACUUUUUUCCUCACCCGUACAGGAAUAGGAUAAAAAGACAUCAUAAAAAUGGGUAUGUUAGUAAGACAUGAUUGAACCAGAGUCAGUCUCCCUGCCAUAUUUAAGAGUGUCCCCUACCAGCAAGCACAUCUCUUCUCAAUUUUUCAGUAACUAUUUUCCAAAACUUAUUACUCAGUCUCACAUCAGAAACAGGUAAACCUAGAUAUUUCAAUGGCACUUUACCUAGUUCACAUGUGAAAAUCUCCUGGUAUAUGUGUGCCUUUGCACUAGUAUCACCAAACAAGAAGAUUUCACUUCUGCGAAAAUUGAUAGUAGGUCCAGACAUUUGCUCAAAAGCACUGAGAAUGAAUUUCAAAUUUCUAGCACUUUCUUCAUCAUCUUGUAAUAGGAAUGUUAUGUCGUCAGCAUAUUGACUCCACUAUUGCCAAAUUCAGACAACACUCGCUUAACAAAACCAGAAUUCUUGGCUUUGUCCAAAAUGAUGGGCAAAGCAUCUGCUGCUAAAUCAAACAGCAGAGGACACAUGGAAUCUCCUUGUCUGAAACCUUUGCGAGUUUUGAAAUAAGGACCAAUAGCAUCAUUCACUUUCACGCCCACAUGUCCCCCAAUCAUGGUACCAGAUCACACCAUUGAUCAGCGAAAAUUUUCAGUUUUAACAUUUUAUAAACAAAGGGCCAUUUGAUUUUAUCAUAUUCUUUUUCAAAGUCUACCUUAAAAGAGGGGUGCACUUUGUUUCUUAUGAUGAUCACACCAUUGAUCAGCGAAAAUUUUCAGUUUUAACAUUUUAUAAACAAAGGGCCAUUUGAUUUUAUCAUAUUCUUUUUCAAAGUCUACCUUAAAAGAGGGGUGCACUUUGUUUCUUAUGAUGAAUUGUAUUAAGGGCCUCGUGUAACACCCCCCCCCCCCCUUCAUAAUGUAUCUCCCUCUAAUAAAGGUUGUUUGAGUGGGAGAAAUGAUGGGUUUAAUCACUCUACUCAGUCUGUUCGUCAACACUUAAGUGAUGAUUUUUAAGCUCACAUUCAAACGACAAACAUGCCCGAAUUUUUGAAUUUGUUUUGCAUCAGUCACUUUUGGAACCAAAGUGAUAAUGCCAUAGUUUAACCUAGAGAUAUCUAAAUCCCCAGAUGGGAAUCAUCAAGAAGUUUCUUGAGGUCCCACUUCACCAGGUCCCAGAAAUGCUGAUAGAAAUCAGCAUGAAAUCCAUCAGGCCAUGGGCUUUAGUUUUUCUCCAUUUUAAAAACGACAUCAUGUAGUUCUUUCAUAGAGAAAGGUUCCACUAGAUUGGUAGCAUCUUGCCUAGAGAUUGAUUCCAAGAGCAUUUUGAAUAUUCAAUCUAACUGUAGAUGGAUCAGCCUGACCAAACAGAAUUUUAAUAAACACUAGAAAUGUACUCCCUCUGUUCCGAAAUGUAUGUCGUUUAACGAUUUGGCGUACAAAAUUUCCUAGGCUACGAAAUUUCCUGAGUAUCCCAUUCUACCCCUGCCGACCGACACGUUCCCCUCUCUCUCGCCCGACGCCACCCACCACUCGUUCCCCACCACUCGUCUCUCUCUCGCGCGCGAUGCCGUCCUCUCCCCGUCGAUGUGCCCUCUCGCCGGCAUCUUGCUCCGCACCGUCGCCUAGCUCACCGCUCCCCAUGCAUCGCCGCCUAGCUCACCGCUCCCAACGCGCCACCCUCUCAAACUCCGGCAAUGCACUGCUGGGCGAGGAGUAGAUGCAGAAAGCUGCCAUUUUUAUGCGCCGGCAACGCGCUGGCGCUAGAUCUGAGUGCGUUGGCGCUCGAUCUGCUUCGUGGAGAGGCAUGAAGGAGGCGCUGAAGCGGAGCCGGAGCGGCGCCGGCGCGGGCGUGAAGACGGCGGCAGUAGGAGCUGGAGCCCGAGCAGGUGGAGGUGGAGCCGCAUCUGGACCUUGUACUGUAUCAAGAUGGAUGGAGUAGAGAGCCUAGAGUAGGAAAGAGCCUUGGACCGUAGCCAUGGACAGCGCAUGACAGAGCCAUGGACAGUGCAACAUCACAAACUUCAUUCCUGUAGAGCCUGAUGCAGCGCAGCAUCACAACCUUGAUGGAAGGAGGCCAGGCCAUGAAGAGAAAAGCUCCUGCCCAUAUCGAUUCAAGAGGAGAGGAGGGCCAUGGAGGGAGAAGCCUGCUGCUGCAAUACCUACCUUGUCGUCCUCAUGGUAUUCUCCAACUUCUCAUGAAGUUUGUGUAGCCUUCUGUUACUCAUGAAGCUUCUGUAGCCUCUGUUACACAUGAAGCUUCUGUAGCUUCACUAGCUUAUGAAUCUUCUUUAGCUUCUGUAGAUUAACAAAGAAGUUUCUCAUGAAUUCAUCACUAUGAAUCUUCUCAUGAAGCUUCUAUUACUCCAA
Molecule: long non-coding RNA, 4038 nt
Organism: Triticum aestivum (bread wheat)
Lineage: Eukaryota; Viridiplantae; Streptophyta; Magnoliopsida; Poales; Poaceae
Exons: 4
Source: RefSeq, a predicted model, not a curated record